ACUGGAGCAGCAGCACAGCCAGGUGGACUGGGGACAGCAAGGAGUCAUCAUGUCAGGUAUUCCUGGGGCAUGGUCCUACUGCUGACCUCGUACAGCUGACAUACUGCUGACCUCGUACAGCUGACAUACUGCUGACCUCGUACAGCUGACAUACUGCUGACCUCGUACAGCUGACAUACUGCUGACCUCGUACAGCUGACAUACUGCUGACCUCGUACAGCUGACAUACCGCUGACCUCAUACAGCAGACAUACCGCUGACCUUAUACAGCUGACAUACUGGUGACCUUAUACAGCUGACAUACUGCUGACCUUAUACUGCUGACCUCAUACUGCUGACCUCAUUCAUACUGCUGACCUCAUUCAUACUGCUGACCACAUACUGCCCACCACAUACUGCUGACCACAUACUGCCCACCACACUGCUGAUCUCAUACAGUUGACCUCACACUGCUGACUUCAUACAGCUGACUUCAUACAGUUGACCUUACACUGCUGACCUCAUACUGCUGACCACAUACUGCUGACCUCAUUCAUACUGCUGACCUCAUUCAUACUGCUGACCUCAUUCAUACUGCUGACCUCAUUCAUACUGCUGACUUCAUACUGCUGACCUCAUACUGCUGAUCUCAUACAGUUGACCUCACACUGCUGACCUCAUACUGCUGACCUCAUACUGCCGACCACAUACUGCCCACCACAUACUGCCCACCACAUACCGCCCACCACAUACCGCCCACCACAUACCGCCCACCACAUACUGCUGAUCUCAUACAGUUGACCACACACUGCUGACCUCAUACUGCUGACCUCAUACUGCUGACCUCAUACUGCUGACCUCAUACUGCUGACCUCAUACUGCUGACCUCAUACUGCUGACCUCAUACUGCUGACCACAUACUGCUGACCUCAUACUACUGAAUACAUACUGCUGACCUCAUACUGCUGACCACAUACUGCUGACCACAUACUGCUGACCACAUACUGCUGACCUCAUACUGCUGACCUCAUACUGCUGACCUCAUACUGCUGACCACAUACUGCUGACCACACACUACUGACCACACACUGCUGACCACACACUGCUGACCACAUACUGCUGACCUCAUACUGCUGACCACAUACUGCUGACCUCAUACUGCUGACCUCAUACUGCUGACCAAAUACUGCUGACCUCAUACUGCUGACCACACACUACUGACCACACACUGCUGACCACAUACUGCUGACCUCAUACUACUGAAUACAUACUGCUGACCUCAUACUACUGACCACAUACUGCUGACCUUAUACUGCUGACCUCAUACUGCUGACUGCUGACCACAUACUGCCCACCACAUACUGCUGAUCACAUAUUGCUGACCACAUACUGCUGACCUCAUACUGCUGACCACACACUACUGACCACACACUGCUGACCACAUACUGCUGACCACAUACUGCUGACCUCAUACUACUGAAUACAUACUGCUGACCUCAUACUACUGACCACAUACUGCUGACCUCAUACUACUGACCACAUACUGCUGACCUCAUACUACUGAAUACAUACUGCUGACCUCAUACUACUGACCACAUACUGCUGACCUCAUACUACUGAAUACAUACUGCUGACCUCAUACUACUGACCACAUACUGCUGACCUUAUACUGCUGACCUCAUACUGCUGACUGCUGACCACAUACUGCCCACCACAUACUGCUGAUCACAUAUUGCUGACCACAUACUGCUGACCUCAUACUACUGACCACAUACUACUGACCACAUAUUGCUGACCACAUACUGCUGACCUCAUAUUGCUGACCACAUACUGCUGACCUCAUACUACUGACCACAUACUACUGACCACAUACUACUGACCACAUACUGCUGACCACAUACUACUGACCACAUACUACUGACCACAUACUGCUGACCUCAUACUGCUGACCGCCGACCUCAUACUGCUGACCUCAUACUGCUGACUGCUGACCACAUACUGCCCACCACAUACUGCUGAUCUCAUACUGCCCACCACAUACUGCUGAUCUCAUACAGUUGACCUCACACUGCUGACCUCAUACUGCUGACCACAUACUGCUGACCUCAUACUGCUGACCUCAUACUGCUGACUGCUGACCACAUACUGCUGACCUCAUACUGCUGACCACAUACUGCUGAUCACAUACUGCCCACCACAUACUGCUGAUCUCAUACUGCUGACUUCAUACAGCUGACUUCAUACAGCUGACCUCACACUGCUGACCACAUACUGCUGACCUCAUAUCGGUGACGUCUUACCGCUGACCUCAUGAAUUGACCCUUCGCUAACCAGCUGAGCUAGCAAACAAUGUAACAAAUUAUAAUUUUUGAAUCUCAAAAUACUCCAAAAGGCUCUGCAUCUCAGGAAUCACAAGUACCCCUGGUGCACUGUUAAAUUAUUUUUCCAUUACAUGUUUUAUUUAUUUAUUUAAUUUUUUAAAGAAAACUCUGUUUUUGCCAUAGCCCUCACUGGCUUUCAUGCGAUUUAAACGUGAGCUUGUCCUAUGUGCCAGACUGGAUGACAGUUGCUAUCCAUUGGACCUUCUCAGACUUAACGAAGGGUUUAUACGUAGUUGGCUCAGGAGAGGUGUGCCUUAGGUUUCCAAGAGUGUCAACUAUGCACAGCAUCAAAAGUCAAUUCUCAUCGCUCUCUCCUCUCUCAUUCUCUCCCUAUGUUUUCUCUCUCUCUGUCUGUCUGUCUCUCUCUCUCUCUCUCUCUCUCUGAGUCUAAAUGCUAACCCAUUAGGAGAGGAGUAUGUAGCUCAUGUCUCCUACAUGUUCAGCUUCCUACGAGUCAGAUGGCUGAAGAUGUGGGCCCAGGAAGUCUCUCGGGCAGAGAUGGAGCUGAGGAUCUCUCAGUGUGUGUUUGACCGACAGUCAGAGAUCACCAGACUACUGCUGGAGGGAAUCAACACUACACAUGCUGCCCAUUUGAGAAGUCUGUCUGACUUUGUAGAAGCCCAGGGUAGCUACCAGCUCACACAGGACCUACACACCCAACUGGCCUGGUGUGUAUCUGUGUGUGUGUGUGUGUUAACCGCUUUUUACUUUCUCUCAUUGUAGCUCUCCCCCUCUGAUCUGCUAUAAUAACAACUGGCACUUAGAAACUAACCAACCCUCAACAGGUAACCUGCCCUUAUCAACCAUUCAGCCCCUAGCAACCUGUGACUCUUCAACAACCAACCAGGCAACUAGUCAACCCUUAGCAACCAACCAGGCAAACAGCCAACCCUUAACAACCACCCAGCCCUUAGCAACAUGUGAGUUUUCGACAACCAUCCAGGCAACUAGCCAACCUGUAGCAGCCAACCAGGCAACUAGCCAACCCCUAUCAAGCAACCAGGCAAACAGCCAACCCUUAGCAACCAACCAGGCAGCCUACGAGUCCUCAAAAACCAAGAAGUCCUCGACAUACAACCAGACAAGCAGCCAAAUCUUAGCAACCACUGGAUCCUCUACAACCAACCAGGUAACCAACUAGUUUAGAUUAGUUUAUUGACAAAAAUGUUGAUUUGCUAGGCCUCGACACUCAUCCAGGCAACCAGCCAACCCCUAGAAAUCAACCAGGCAACCAGCCAACCUCUACAAACCAUCCAGGCAACCAAUGAGUCCCCAACAACCAAUGUGUCCUCAUCAACCAACCAGGCAACAAACCAACCCUUAACAACUAACCAGCCAUUGACAACCAACCAGGCAACCAGUCAAUCCCUAGCAACCAACCAGGCACCCAGUCAAUCCUUAGCAAACAUUGAGUCCUCACCAAUCAACGAGUCCCCGACAAACAACCAAGCAACCAGCCAAGCCUUGACAACCAACCAGCCAACCAUUAGCAACCAAUGAGUCCUCAACCACCAACCAGGUAACUAACCAACCCUUGCAAACCAACCAAGCCAACAAUGACUUCUCAAUAACCAAUGAGUCCUCAACCACCAACCAGGCAACUAGCCAACCCUUAGCGACUCACCAGCCCUCGACAACUAACCAGGCAACCAGCCAAUCCUUAGCAACUAACCAGGUCCCCAGCCAACCCUUUACAACCAGCUGGGAAUCUUUCAAACCCUUAGCAACCAAUGACUCAUCAACAACCAACGAGUUCUCAACAACCAACCAGACAACUAGCCAACCCUUAGCCACCAACAGGUCAACCAACCAGACAACCAAUGUGUUUUCAACAACUAAUGAGUCCUCGACCACCAACCAGGUAACUAACCAGCCCUCGACAACCAAUAAGGUAACCAACCAAUCUCUAGCAACCUACCGGACAAACAGCCAAUGAGUCGUCACCAAACAACGAGAACUUGACAAACAACCAAGCAACCAGCCAACCCUUGACAUCCAACCAGGCAAUCCUUACAAACCACCCGGUAACCAACCAACCAACAGACAGCCCUUGAUAAGCCACCAGGAAACCAUCAAACCCUUAGCAGCCAAUGAUUUCUCAGCAAUCAACGAGUCCUCGACAAUCAAGGAGAACGUGACAAACAACCAACUCUCAACAACCAACCAGCCCUUAGAAACCAGCCAGAGAACCAGUCAGCCUGCAGGUGGUCCUGUAGCUGACUGAACAAUCUGACUGUGGAACUGUCUGUAUGAAAAGCGUGCGUUUAUAUUGUGGGUUUGAGUUGUGAACAGCUCCUCUCUGCCAAAACAUCAGCUACCAUGGCUAGGUCCUAAAUGAAGGCUCUGUCUCAGUCGUAGUGGUGAAGGGCAACACAGCUAUAGGGGCCGUCUAUAAACCGUAGCAGGCUUGUAUUGACCAUUCACCAGUGUUGUUGUUGGACCCAGCAGGACACACGCGUACGGGCUAAUCCAGGAAGAGUAAGAGGACAUGCUACUAUGGAGUCAUCAGUGGUAGGGAAGUCUUAGAUGUUGAUAUCUACUGUCCUGUCAUAACCUGUGUGUCUAUCGGAGCGUCCAUGUACUCUUUAAGGGAGUUAUAUGGUGGUGGUCUACAGUAUGUGCAGGUUAUCUAGAUGUAUGUAGGUUACUGUAUAUGGGGGUGUAGAUCUAUAUGGUUGGUAUAGACUGUCUAUUUGGAGACUUGGAGGAAAACUGACAGCUGUGUUUACAUGAUGUAUUGUGUCGUCUGAAAACAGUUUGUGUGAUCAAGAGAGGUGACAUGUUUCAUAUGUAAUACAUGUGUGUGUGACCCUUCACCUCUAUAGGGUGAGGUCAUUUUCCAUACGGCAACAUGUCGCGCUUAUUCCAUAGUAUUAAACAUACACACAGCCUUGAAUAUAGUCCCACCAGGCUAAACCGUGUAAAUGUUUCCGUCUACAGAUGUUUUCAAUUGACCCUGCCUGAGAGGGCAGCUAUACACACACACACGACAGCCCCGCCUCGAUCUGCUGGUGCUGAGGUCUACGUGCUUACUCUGGGUUACUGGGACACAGAACACACACACAUUAACUAUUGAGGUUUGACUUCCCUGUCUCUGAACCUGUCAGGGUUGUUUCAGUGACAUUAUGUUUUAUUAACUCUGACCAUAUAAGAUCAUCUGGAAUUAUUUAGAAUCAUAUUAAACUGAUAAUGAGGC
Molecule: non-coding RNA, 5556 nt
Organism: Oncorhynchus mykiss (rainbow trout)
Lineage: Eukaryota; Metazoa; Chordata; Actinopteri; Salmoniformes; Salmonidae
Source: RefSeq, a predicted model, not a curated record